RNAcentral lists this ribosomal RNA (500 nucleotides) under uncultured bacterium. Its description in RNAcentral is "partial 16S ribosomal RNA". It matches the Rfam family "Bacterial small subunit ribosomal RNA", at positions 30 to 523 of the family's 1533-position model. The record is from RNAcentral.
AUUGAACGCUGGCGGCAGGCUUAACACAUGCAAGUCGAGCGGAGAUGAGGUGCUUGCACCUUAUCUUAGCGGCGGGCGGGUGAGUAAUGCUUAGGAAUCUGCCUAUUAGUGGGGGACAACAUUCCGAAAGGAAUGCUAAUACCGCAUACGUCCUACGGGAGAAAGCAGGGGAUCUUCGGACCUUGCGCUAAUAGAUGAGCCUAAGUCGGAUUAGGUAGUUGGUGGGGUAAAGGCCUACCAAGGCGACGAUAGGUAGCGGGUCUGAGAGGAUGAUACGCCACACUGGGACUGAGACACGGCCCAGACUCCUACGGGAGGCAGCAGUGGGGAAUAUUGGACAAUGGGGAAACCCUGAUCCAGCCAUGCCGCGUGUGUGAAGAAGGCCUUAUGGUUGUAAAGCACUUUAAGCGAGGAGGAGGCUACUGAGACUAAUACUCUUGGAUAGUGGACGUUACUCGCAGAAUAAGCACCGGCUAACUCUGUGCCAGCCGCCGCAGUAA